Long non-coding RNA from Macadamia integrifolia, 1030 nucleotides. RefSeq lists it as uncharacterized. The record is from RefSeq and is a predicted model, not a curated record. Lineage: Eukaryota; Viridiplantae; Streptophyta; Magnoliopsida; Proteales; Proteaceae. The transcript is spliced from 7 exons.
CUCUGAGUGACACGAGAGAGAAAAAGAGAGAGAGAGCGCUCUGUUCCAAACGGAAGUUAGGGCAGAUGGGGCUAGACAAUAGCUCCACUGAGAAGUGACAACCACAGAAUCACGCCCUAGUUUCUCUGAAAACGACCAAAGCCUCUGCAGAGUCGGUUUUGAAAGAAGCUGAAUCUCUGCACUCUCUCACCCUCUCUGAACUCUUCUUCAUCCUCUUCCACUCCGUGCCAUCUGCUUGCUGUGAGUAUGUCUAAUUUUUCUGGGGUGUUUUUUUCUGUUCACGGAUGGUUGUUUCAGGUUUGACGAAGCCUCUUGGCAGAAAGUCUCUGGACUUUGCGCACAUUACUAGUAGGGGCUGCGGAUUUUGGAACUUACAACCGAAGGAGAUCAUCUUUAAAGUGCAUUUUACCAAGAAUAUUGUGAAAGAUGACAUAAGAGAAGAUGCCAUCAGUUGAGCCACAUAAAGAUAUAAAGAUAUGGAGGAAAGUCACCAGCGAGAUCAGCGAUUUACCAGAUUCGAUGGGGGAUCGUACAAUUAAAAAGUCCCAAUCGGAACCAAGUUUUGGAAACCAACCUCCUCAAAUUCCAGAGCGUUUUAAGAGUGUGGGAGCAAGGAAGCAACAUGAAAUCAUCCACGAUGAUGUUCCAACCACGGACAUAGCUCCAAUGAGUGAUGUUGAUCAGGCUAGAUCGGCAUCCUUGGCAGCUGAUAAUAGUUCUAUAAUCAUCGACAUCGAUGAUUAGACUCCCACAGUUGUAUAUGUUCAGGUCUCGAACACAACUCCACUGAGAUGUUGAUCUGAGUGGAUCAGCACCCUCACCACCAACCAACAGUUGUGAAACCACGGAACUCGGAGAUCAAACCCCACCGGUUGGACCUCCCGAGGAUAAUGAUGAUCUAGAUGGAUCACAAAGUAAUAUUGAUCUGAGUGGAUCAGCAGCUUUACCACUGGUGAACAGAUCUGAAAUCACGGAACUCAAAGAUCAAAUCCCACCGGUUGGACCUCCCGAGGGUAAUGAAAAUUAACUU